CACUGUUUUCCUUACUCGACUUCACGACAGGAUAAUGAUAGGCAACGAAAGCGCUGAUUAAUUCACUCGCGUGAAGUGCAAACAAAAGCAGUGACACGUUUUUAUAAAAUAUAAAAAACGCUUCUUCAGCGUCCGACGAAGGAAUAUAUACGGAUAUACUGACGUCCAUUCGACCAGUUAAACUGUUAAAAUUGGGGAGUUUUCCACACAAAAUGUUUAUUGCCCGACGAGGGUUCCUUUGCGCGUGCACAGCAAUGCCGACAAUUUCAUCUGGACAAAUCGGUCUGACGGAUUCUAUAACAUCUGAAAGAAAUGUGCUUAUUUUAUAAUGUGUCCUGGAGUCUAUUGAAUAACUGGCUGACGUGGGGAUCACGCAGGGGGGCUGGCCGAAAAAGGAGAGACACGGGCGGGCAGAGGGGCUACGCCGCGGCGCGUCUGGGAUUACAGUAAACACUAUUUGUUUCUUCAAUAACUUGAUAGGGUUUGACGAGAUAAUGCAAAAGCUGGCAUAUAAAACGCGAAGGAAACCAUGUAGCAUGUCUUGUUGUUGGGGUUCUGAGACGCUCAGACUGACCGCUGCCUAUAAGUUCAUGGAUGUUUACGUCAGUGAAUGAUUUGGAAGUUUGUAAAGUUCGUAAAAGCCAUCGACCACUGCUGUAUGAACUUUGUUUUUAAUAUCUGACGCAUUUUAUGAGUGCUGUCUAAGAUGGUUGAGAACAGAUGCUUUGUUCAGAGAGAGGAGGUUUACCGCUGGUUCUCCGUGUUGAGUUCGGCGCAGAGGGCUGAGUUCUUCUGCGGCCUUUUGGACCUAUGCGUUCCCAUUGAGCUGCGCUUCCUCGGUUCGUGUUUGGAAGACCUAGCCCGAAAAGACUACCACUCCCUGAGGGAUGCCGAAAUCAAAGCCAACAACCCGGCUGACCUCGCCAACCUUACCAACAUCACGGAUGAGGUCGUGAGGAGCAAGCUGCUCGUCUCACUCGCGCUCCUCAGCUCGGACAACCGCGUAGCGGCUGGAGUUUUGUUUCGCACCCUCACUCACAUCGACACCAUCAUUAAUAACUACGGACUUCAGCUUAACGAUGGCCAGACUGGAGAGCAGUUUUUGCUCCUCUUCACCAUGGCUUCGAACCAUCCCGCCUUUAGUUUUCAUCAAAAGCAGGUGCUGAGGCAAGAGUUGACGCAGAUCCAGGAGAUCCUACAGGUGACAGUUGCUGAGGCGUCGUCGACGUCACACGGGGGCGGGGCCUGCGCUGCAGCGCUUCCAAACGUGAGCGCGACCCCGACCUUCCCUUCCUACAUCACCGCUUCCACCUUCAACUCCUGCCAGGCUGGAUGUCCGUGCUGCAAGACUGUGCAACGGGAGGUCACAGGAGGUCAGACAGAUGAAGGCUUAGGUCCUGAGAUCGUGCCGCCAAGUCCGUCGCUCUUGUGUCAGGAAAUGCCACUCAAAGUCCACGUCCGAAAACCCAGCAAAGUUUAUGUUGAAAGAAUUGAACUAAGAGGAGUUACACACAAAUCAGACAAACCAACAGAAUACAUCCUGGAGGCCUUGUGGUCCGACUCCACUUUGUCGACUGUCAGCAAAACCCCUCAGGAAGUGCUGGAGUUCAUCUCCCAGCUCUCUCAACUCUUUCCUGAUGAAUGUCUGGAGAAACUUCUGCCUCAGAUGCCUGGACUUGAUUCCACUCAUGACCUAGAUCCUCGAUGCUUGACCUCUUUUCCGCCUCAUGUUCUCAAACACGACAAAGUCCGUUUCUUCUUCAGCACUUCGUCCGCACCGCAGCUCCCUACUAGCACAAAUCUGGGCUGUUUACUUCAGUAUAGGGGAGUGAGCAGGCCCAUUUGUGGUGUCGCCAGCAUCCAGCCUGUCCUAAGCGUCCAUUCCCCCCUCCCACAGAGCUCCCCUGCCCACCUGCCCCCUCUUCCCCCUCAGACAGCAGUGGCCAUCCUCCCCGGCACUGCUGUACCCAUGGGAGAGGGCAGUCCACCACAGACACACCUCACAAACCCUGGAGCCCAAUCCCAGCAGCCCAGCCCGGAGCAGAACGGCAUCCUGGACUGGCUUCGUAAACUGCGGUUGCAUAAAUAUUACCCUGUCUUCAAACAGCUAACCAUGGAGGAGUUCCUCGCUCUCACAGAAGAGGAUCUCAACAAGUACGACCUCACUCAGGGGGCCAAGAAGAAACUGAAGACUCAGCUAGAGCUUCAGAAAGAGAAGCUGGAGAAGAGAUAUGUGGUGUCUCAGUUUCCUGUUUCCUGUGGUGGGGUUGCCAGAGUGACCCCUUCCAGUCACAUCGGACCCCUGACACACGUACACCCUGGAAGUGGCACUGAGCUACGGGUAGACGUCGAGAACAGCUCGUUGCCUAUUCCACGGGACAGCAGUUCCUCCUCUGGCUAUUCCAGUGCUCCUUCCAGUCCAAUGACCCCUUUUUCACGUGACACUUCCUUCGACCGGGUCAAAGACCCUCACAGACGUUUGGAGUCUGGUUUGGAUUCUGGCGAGAAAGAGCGGUCAUGCUUUCUCCUCAAUCCUGUGGUAUCCACCGGUCCUAGCCGUCCCACUGCCCAAGUCCUCCCAGUCCAGAAUGAUCCCUCCCUCUGUCCCUCCCAAAUGAGUUUGCCCCCUCCCUCCCUGCCCCUUCUCUCCCCAGGCCGGGUUCUCAACUCUCCCCGCAAACCUCGCCCACCCCCUCUCUGUUCAGAAGAACGUCCCAAACCAGUGGGGUCCGGGGUUGCUGUGGGUGUCCGACUUGAGAACAUAUUUCCUGGGCUGUGUCUUGACGGUACCCCGGGACACCAAGACAUGUCGGCCCCCCGCGGGCCCCUUGCGGUGCUUCGUUCCCCUCCAGGUCUCAUGGUGGAGACCAGCACUGCUCUCACUGCCACAUCUAACACCCUCCACCAUGUCUCCCACCCACCCUUACACUUACAAGUGUCUUCUUCUGUACCACGUACAGGAUCGUACCCUUUUUCUACCCCGUCCUCCUGCCCGUCAUCAUGUUCCUCCACCAGACCCUCUUUCUCACCUGUCAGUGGAGUACCCAUAGGAACGGCCAGCAGCGUUCCCAUAGCGGCAGUACCUGGCAAUACGUACUGCAUAAACAGUACACCCGUGGUCACACCCAGUUCUAGCCCAGCGUCCACAGAGAAUAGUGGCUACGCCUCUGUGCAAGCAAACAGCAUUAACUCCAGUUCCUCAUUAUGCGUUUGUAGCUCUUGCGGGUGUAGCCGUAAUUGUGGCUCCUAUGGGGCGCUUCCGGCUAGCUACGCUGGCUACUUUCCACAUCCGUUCUCAGGAACAUCAGUGUUCACGUUAGGUCCUUUGCUUCAUUUCAGCCCGCUCCUCACAGGAAGUGGUACCGCCUCCCCUUUUUCCUACCCCCUGGUAGCCCCACCUAUCUACAACAGCAGCCUAUCACAUGACUCACAACAGAAUCUUGUGCUUCCCUCAGUGCAGGGUUUUCUUGGGGGAGGGGGCGGUGUGUACCAGCCCCAUGGAAUCAUGGGAAACGGAAGCUCUGGGCAUAAGAAAACAGGGAAUUUGUCCUGCUAUAACUGUGGGCUGAGUGGGCAUCGUGCACAAGACUGCAAGCAACCAGCAAUGGACUCUGCACAACAAGAAUGUGGCGGUUGGUUUGUGUUGUAUUUGUCCCGCCUCUCCUCCUCUGUGAUUGGACGGCUGGGUACAAAGUGACAGUGAUGAUCGCUGCGUUUAACCCAAAGAUGACCGUUCUUCAACUCUCGGCGAAUGGGACGUUUCGUCUGAAAUAUUCUCCGCAGUCAGACAGCCAGGACUCAGGGGACUAAAUGAUGUGUAUGGACAGAUUUGGACCUGCACCUUCCUCAGUGUGUAAAGACACUUGAUGUGAGACCCCCGCUGAGCAAAGACACUACAGUAUCUCUUCACAGGAAGAUUGAGUGAUCGAGUUUGAUCAGUUAUGGCUUUGAUGAAAGCCUUGUGCCAAAGAAUCACUUCACAGUGGAUCUUUGUAAAGGGAUGUUCAAGGAAGAACUCUUUUUUUGUGUUCUUCAUUACUCUUCACUCCGUUCGUUUCACUUGAGACUCGCUUGAGCAAGUCACUAUGGAGCAGCCAGCAGUGUAUCAGUGAACAUUGAUCGCACAUGUCAUUCUUGGAAGCAAAACGAGGUAAACUGACAGAAUUUGCUUGCCAAAUAACGUGCAAUUAUGACCAAGACUUUUUGCUCUUGGUGUGACAAGUCAACCUUUGGGAAUAAAAUACUGGCAGUUAUUUUUUUUUUCUGGAAAUUCAUAUGGGAAAGGAAAAACUGACAAUUGAGGAAGUGGAAAUGUUGUAUUCCAUCUCAAGAGGUCAUUUUUUAGCUUUUUGACUACCGGAAGUCUUCUUAAUCAUGUGUUAUGUUCCUGUUUGUUGUUCUCAUGGUAUAUUUGUUAAUGUCCUGGUUUUUGCUACAUUUGCUAUUUUCGAAUUAUAUUUUUUAUUACAUGUUCAAUGUUCUCUUCGCCAUAAAGGUGCCAUGUCAGGCUGACACUCCAAUAAAAGACAUUUAUACAGUCAAAGCACUCGAGACCGUUGAAGUAGAACUUUUUAAUUUACUAGCAUUAUUAAAACUGUAAUGAAAAAGAAGAAAUUGCUUCCCAGAUUUAUGAAUUUCAGCUUCUAAACUGAGAACUGAACACUAGAGUAAACACUAAAAAGGUCAAAACAGUGGGUUUUCCACGUUGUUUCUCAAUUACAUGGGCAUAUACUUUUUCCAAAGUGUUGAAAAAGUCGGACUUACACAAAAGACCCAUUUAGCCAAUAGAUGCCAUUCCAUUGUUGCUGUUUCAAAGCAAAUGGUGAUAUUUAUGAUCUGUGUUUUUCAGUGUCUAGCUGCCUUUUACAGAACAUUUGUUUUUAAUUAUAGAUCUUGCAGUUGCUGGAUAUGCAUGUUGCCUGAUCAUGAAUUACUACAGGCUGUAUGUAUUAUUUGUAGUAUUAUUAUCGCAGGAAAGCUUUUGAGCUAAAACGACAAUGCUGACGCAGCCAUUUUGUAUUCAGAAGUGAAUGUUUAUUGAAGAUUGAUUGUUGAAUUUUUGUAUAAUGUAUCAAUUUGACACUUUUUAAAAUGAAUUAAAAAUGUUUUUGAGAA
This is an RNA transcript of Megalobrama amblycephala (Wuchang bream), 5115 nucleotides long. It is a transcript of the gene named zinc finger, CCHC domain containing 14, with no coding region annotated. The record is from RefSeq and is a predicted model, not a curated record. NCBI's taxonomy places the organism in Eukaryota, Metazoa, Chordata, Actinopteri, Cypriniformes, Xenocyprididae. The transcript has 14 exons.